RNAcentral lists this long non-coding RNA (696 nucleotides) under Equus asinus (donkey). RNAcentral's name for it is "lncRNA (ENSEASG00005037189.1)". The record is from RNAcentral. Lineage: Eukaryota; Metazoa; Chordata; Mammalia; Perissodactyla; Equidae.
GGAAUGUCUGCUCAGUGAAGUCAUACUUUAUAGGGGUGCUCACCCCCUUACUCACACGCCCUGAAUGACUUGCAGGGCCCCAGCCCCCACGCCUGUCCCAGUGGCUGCUGUGAAGAAACGCACGUCAUUGGGGGAAGUCCAGAAGAUGAUCUCCAAGCACCUCCUGCCACCCCAGCCUCCUGAAGGCCUCAGUUCCCCAUCACGGAGCUCCCUUGGGGCUUCGGGGGCAAUUUUUGGAUCUUUAGUAAAGGAAGGGCCUCUGAGGGGCUGGGUUUUCCUUGGGGCUGCCCUGGUGUCGUGGCGUUGUGGGGUGGGGAAUUUGGCAACACCACGGGCUCAGUAUGGCUGAAACUCCCCGGACGGCUUAGCUGCCUAAGGAUGAGCCUCUCUGCUGCCCCACCAGGCCUGGGCCUCUGUGAGGACAGAAAUCGGGACAUCGUCUGUGCCAUUGGGAUGAGUGGUCUGGGGUGCCAGAGCUCUGACAGCAGUGAACCCAGGGCCGGGGGCAUGAAAACCGAGGCACCAUGUUAGCACAGCAGGCACUACACUAGGCUGCUCAAAGUGAUUCUUGAAUUCUGUCUUUUUGGAAAAGUAGGUGUUAGCUGGGCAAAGAAGGAGCUGAGGGGGACUGCGUGGUCAGAGGCCCAGAGGGGUCUGGCUGACCACCAAGGCCCAGCUGGGAACCGGCCCUGCGAC